RNAcentral lists this ribosomal RNA (492 nucleotides) under uncultured bacterium. RNAcentral describes it as "partial 16S ribosomal RNA". It matches the Rfam family "Bacterial small subunit ribosomal RNA", at positions 29 to 507 of the family's 1533-position model. The record is from RNAcentral.
AGUGAAUGCUGGCGGUAGGCCUAACACAUGCAAGUCGAACGGCAGCACAGUAAGAGCUUGCUCUUACGGGUGGCGAGUGGCGGACGGGUGAGGAAUACAUCGGAAUCUACUUUUUCGUGGGGGAUAACGUAGGGAAACUUACGCUAAUACCGCAUACGACCUACGGGUGAAAGCAGGGGAUCUUCGGACCUUGCGCGAUUGAAUGAGCCGAUGUCGGAUUAGCUAGUUGGCGGGGUAAAGGCCCACCAAGGCGACGAUCCGUAGCUGGUCUGAGAGGAUGAUCAGCCACACUGGAACUGAGACACGGUCCAGACUCCUACGGGAGGCAGCAGUGGGGAAUAUUAGACAAUGGGCGCAAGCCUGAUCCAGCCAUACCGCGUGGGUGAAGAAGGCCUUCGGGUUGUAAAGCCCUUUUGUUGGGAAAGAAAAGCAGCAGGUUAAUACCCCGCUGUUCUGACGGUACCCAAAGAAUAAGCACCGGCUAACUUCGUG